GGACCCGCACAAGCGGUGGAUGAUGUGGUUUAAUUCGAUGCAACGCGAAAAACCUUACCUACCCUUGACAUGCCAGGAAUCCUGAAGAGAUUUGGGAGUGCUCGAAAGAGAACCUGGACACAGGUGCUGCAUGGCCGUCGUCAGCUCGUGUCGUGAGAUGUUGGGUUAAGUCCCGCAACGAGCGCAACCCUUGUCAUUAGUUGCUACGAAAGGGCACUCUAAUGAGACUGCCGGUGACAAACCGGAGGAAGGUGGGGAUGACGUCAGGUCAUCAUGGCCCUUAUGGGUAGGGCUACACACGUCAUACAAUGGCCGGGACAGAGGGCUGCCAACCCGCGAGGGGGAGCUAAUCCCAGAAACCCGGUCGUAGUCCGGAUCGCAGUCUGCAACUCGACUGCGUGAAGUCGGAAUCGCUAGUAAUCGCGGAUCAGCUUGCCGCGGUGAAUACGUUCCCGGGUCUU
RNAcentral lists this ribosomal RNA (461 nucleotides) under uncultured bacterium. Its description in RNAcentral is "bacterial SSU rRNA". It matches the Rfam family "Bacterial small subunit ribosomal RNA", at positions 917 to 1382 of the family's 1533-position model. The record is from RNAcentral.